CCUACGGGGCGCUGCAGUGAGGAAUAUUGGUCAAUGGGCGGAAGCCUGAACCAGCCAAGUAGCGUGCGGGAUGAAGGCCCUACGGGUCGUAAACCGCUUUUGCACGGGGAUAACACCCUCCACUUGUGGAGGUCUGCAGGUACCGUGCGAAUAAGGGCCGGCUAAUUCCGUGCCAGCAGCCGCGGUAAUACGGAAGGCCCGAGCGUUAUCCGGAUUCAUUGGGCUUAAAGGGAGCGUAGGCGGGCGUUCAAGUCAGCUGUAAAAUCGCGCGGCUCAACCGCGCCCCGCAGUUGAAACUGGACGCAUUGAGUGCACAAGAGGCAGGCGGAAUUCGUGGUGUAGCGGUGAAAUGCAUAGAUAUCACGAGGAACCCCGAUUGCGAAGGCAGCCUGCCGGGGUGCGACUGACGCUGAGGCUCGAAGGUGCGGGUAUCAAACAGGAUUAGAUACCCGUGUAGUC
RNAcentral lists this ribosomal RNA (459 nucleotides) under uncultured bacterium. Its description in RNAcentral is "partial 16S ribosomal RNA". It matches the Rfam family "Bacterial small subunit ribosomal RNA", at positions 338 to 795 of the family's 1533-position model. The record is from RNAcentral.